RNAcentral lists this ribosomal RNA (703 nucleotides) under uncultured Arthrobacter sp. RNAcentral's name for it is "bacterial SSU rRNA". It matches the Rfam family "Bacterial small subunit ribosomal RNA", at positions 412 to 1125 of the family's 1533-position model. The record is from RNAcentral. Lineage: Bacteria; Bacillati; Actinomycetota; Actinomycetes; Micrococcales; Micrococcaceae.
CGGCCUUCGGGUUGUAAACCUCUUUCAGUAGGGAAGAAGCGAAAGUGACGGUACCUGCAGAAGAAGCGCCGGCUAACUACGUGCCAGCAGCCGCGGUAAUACGUAGGGCGCAAGCGUUAUCCGGAAUUAUUGGGCGUAAAGAGCUCGUAGGCGGUUUGUCGCGUCUGCCGUGAAAGUCCGGGGCUCAACUCCGGAUCUGCGGUGGGUACGGGCAGGCUAGAGUGAUGUAGGGGAGACUGGAAUUCCUGGUGUAGCGGUGAAAUGCGCAGAUAUCAGGAGGAACACCGAUGGCGAAGGCAGGUCUCUGGGCAUUAACUGACGCUGAGGAGCGAAAGCAUGGGGAGCGAACAGGAUUAGAUACCCUGGUAGUCCAUGCCGUAAACGUUGGGCACUAGGUGUGGGGGACAUUCCACGUUUUCCGCGCCGUAGCUAACGCAUUAAGUGCCCCGCCUGGGGAGUACGGUCGCAAGGCUAAAACUCAAAGGAAUUGACGGGGGCCCGCACAAGCGGCGGAGCAUGCGGAUUAAUUCGAUGCAACGCGAAGAACCUUACCAAGGCUUGACAUGAACCGGACCGCUGCAGAAAUGUGGUUUCCCCUUUGGGGCUGGUUUACAGGUGGUGCAUGGUUGUCGUCAGCUCGUGUCGUGAGAUGUUGGGUUAAGUCCCGCAACGAGCGCAACCCUCGUUCUAUGUUGCCAGCACG